CCCCAAAGGGGGCGGCGAUUCCCCGUGAAGGGGGGUUUUGGGGAGGGGAAGAUUUUACCCCCCCCCGGGGGGGUGGGGACCCCGGGCCCCAGGUUUCCUUCCGGGAGGGCAGCCAGUGGGGAAAUUUUGGGCCAAUGGGGGCAAACCUUGACCCAACCCAUGCCCGCGGUGGGAAGAAGGCCUUUCGGUUUGGAAAGCACUUUCCAGCGGGGGAGAAGGCCUCACCAGGUUAUACCCCGUGGGAAUUGACGUAACCCGCAGAAGAGCACCGGGCUACUCCGUGCCAGCAGCCGCCGUAAUACGGAGGGUGCAAGCGUUAUCCGAAAUACUGGGCGUAAAGCGCGCGUAGGCGGUUUGAUAAGCAGGAUGUGAAAGCCCUGGGCUUAACCUAGGAAUGGCAUUCUGAACUGUCUGACUGGAGUAUGGUAGAGGGUAGUGGAAUUUCCUGUGUAGCGGUGAAAUGCGUAGAUAUAGGAAGGAACACCAGUGGCGAAGGCGACUACCUGGACCAAUACUGACGCUGAGGUGCGAAAGCGUGGGGAGCAAACAGGAUUAGAUACCCUGGUAGUCCACGCUGUAAACGAUGUCAACUAGUCGUUGGGGAUCUUGAAUCCUUAGUGACGCAGCUAACGCACUAAGUUGACCGCCUGGGGAGUACGGCCGCAAGGUUAAAACUCAAAUGAAUUGACGGGGGCCCGCACAAGCGGUGGAGCAUGUGGUUUAAUUCGACGCAACGCGAAGAACCUUACCUGGCCUUGACAUCCUGCGAACCCUCUGGAGACAGAGGGGUGCCUUCGGGAGCGCAGUGACAGGUACUGUAUGGCCGUCGUCAGCUCGUGUCGUGAGAUGUUGGGUUAAGUCCCGUAACGAGCGCAACCCCUGUCCUUAGUUACCAGCGAUUCGGUCGGGAACUCUAGGGAGACUGCCGGUGACAAACCGGAGGAAGGUGGGGAUGACGUCAGGUCAUCAUGGCCCUUACGGCCAGGGCUACACACGUGCUACAAUGGCGCGCACAGAGGGCUGCAAACCCGCGAGGUUGAGCCAAUCCCUUAAAACGCGUCG
Molecule: ribosomal RNA, 1062 nt
Filed under: uncultured bacterium
Lineage: Bacteria
Description: bacterial SSU rRNA
Rfam family: Bacterial small subunit ribosomal RNA
Source: RNAcentral